CGAUCAUACGCCAAACGAAUGUUUGUUUAUAGAAAACAUAUCCAUUACAGUAGCCCCUGGCCAUGUAGCAACGUCUAAAUAAACAAUUCGGAGCGGAGCUAAAAUUCUCAGAAGCUAAAAACGAAACGCAAAAACUUUCAGUCGCUGACUCAAGGCGGAGGGAGGGAGGGUAACUGCAACUGACCAACAAAAAAAACAGCUGGAUUCAAAAUAGAUUUUGUGGGACUUUUAAUGCUACUUCAUUUGGUGCCCGACCGUCAAGCCAUGCAGAGCAGAGUGGGAAUGUUGAGGGAGUUUAGCUCCUACCAUGAUCUAAGCGAACAUUUUCGCAUGUAUAGAUCUCAGUCCAUUGAUACCCUAGACAAUGGCAUUGAUAUGAACCCGAGUACCGGCGAUGGAGUGUCCAGAGAUGGCAUCGACGACUGCUACACAACCUGCUCCCAGUCGCACUCCGGUUUGCUGCGUGAGCAUAACUUCAAGGUGAAGAACAAUUACUUCCACGUGGGGAAUUGUGUGCACUGCGAGAAAAGGAUUGGCUUUGGAACGGCCAGCUUGCGUUGCCGGGCUUGUCCGCUGCGCUGCCACAUCGGCUGCUCUCGCCAGUUGACAAUCAACUGUAUUCCCCAGCCGCAGAUGAGCAGUAAGCGUGGAAGCCUCAGUGAUUAUGCACCCACGGUGGCGCCCAUGGUGCCGGCUUUGAUAGUCCAUUGUGUGACGGAGAUCGAGGAGCGUGGACUGCAGCAGGAGGGACUCUAUCGGCUGUCCUCGACGCGGGAGAAGUGCAAGCAGUUGCGGCAGAAGCUGCUGCGUGGCAAGUGGACACCGCAUCUGGGUAGCAGGGACACAAACACCCUGUGCUGCUGCAUCAAGGAGUUCCUCCGCCGUCUGGUGCAUCCCCUGAUACCCAUUUACCACAGGCGCGACUUUGAGAGGGCCACCAGCCACAGCAAUCCGUCAGACGUGGAGGAGCAUGUCUAUCGUGUAAUUCAGAUGCUACAGCAGGCUCACCGUGACACGCUGGCCUACCUCAUGCUGCACUGGAAGCGUGUGGCAGAUAGUCCGAAUGCCCGAAUGUCCAUCAACAAUCUGGCCCUAAUAUUGGCCCCAACUCUGUUCGGGGAUCUCGACUUGACGGUCGAGAAUAUCACAACCUGGACAAAGGUACUGAAGGAGCUGCUCCUGCUGCCGCAUGUGUUUUGGGUUCAGUUUCUGGAGGUGCAACCUGCACCUUUGUCCAGCGAUUACCCGGACGAUGAUCGGUAUGGGCACAGGCAAUGGGAUCAUCAUGGCCACAGGCGCUGGAGCACUGUUAAAACCUAUUUUAGAUCUAUGGUAAAUCUCUCCACAAUCAGAUGAAUCAUGUUUUGUUUAUUUUUUAUUUGUUUAUUUUAUCGAGUUAAGUUCGUUCAUCAUUGGAAGAUUAAAGGAAAAACCGUGAAGCGAAGUACAAAAUUAAUAAUUUCCAUUUGGCCAUGCGAGUAUUUAUGUUUAUGUGAAGCGUAAACCAAAACACAAAGAAAAAUAUUAUGCCAGCGUUGGGUGAAUGGACCACCGAUUCUAUAUUGAAAGAACUGAAGGCGGUAAGAAAAAAGUUAGUUUGGCGUUUUAAAAACAAUUUGCUGAGUGCUGGUAAAAAAUUUGUGUGUGUGGCCAUUAAAUGCAAAAAACAAGCAAAGCAAAACAAAGCACUCGAAUGCGUUGGAGGAGUGCAUAAAUAGACCCAUACGCACACUUAUAUAGUACACACUCACGCACACCACUAUACGCGUAUACAGGGGUAAAAAAGAAUGUAUAAUAAUAUCAAAAAUAAACCUAAAGCGAGACGGCGACAGAGUGCAAUGCGAUUCUGUUGCUAACCGCUAAAAACGGGGCUGCAGUUGCAGUUGUUCCAUCUGCCACGUUGUUAACGUUAACCAAAUGCUAAUGCCACACACACGCAAACGCACACACUG
RNA transcript from Drosophila obscura, 1952 nucleotides. It is a transcript of the gene named GTPase-activating protein RacGAP84C, with no coding region annotated. The transcript is spliced from 4 exons. Lineage: Eukaryota; Metazoa; Arthropoda; Insecta; Diptera; Drosophilidae. The record is from RefSeq and is a predicted model, not a curated record.